Long non-coding RNA from Mus musculus (house mouse), 473 nucleotides. RefSeq annotates it as predicted gene, 32871. Lineage: Eukaryota; Metazoa; Chordata; Mammalia; Rodentia; Muridae. The transcript is spliced from 3 exons. The record is from RefSeq and is a predicted model, not a curated record.
CUUUCACACCAGCUCCCGUUGUCAGCUGUGGGCAAAAAAAACAGGAACGGCUCAGCAUGUGUCCCUUCCCGAGACUGCCUGUGGGGUGCAGAAGGGGUCCUGAAACCAACGUGGUGCUUGGUCAUCUUUGGAGAUAGCCUCUUUGAUUGGAUACUCUGUUACCUAAUCUCGCGUCUGCACACUGAACAACCGUUGAGCACCGUUCCGGGGCUUAUGCUAGAGGGAGAAAGCUGAACCAGCACCGGGGCCCUGGGAAAAGAUGUGGCCGCCAUGAGGCUUGGUAUCCCCAUUUGCAACCCAGAGCCAAGGGUUCCUCCCUGUUAUGGUUGCUGGGCGAUUCUGAGGCACUCCUCCACACUCCUUUGUGGCACCAAUCAUUGACGUGUGACCCAACCAAGAAGAAUCCACGUGGCCUUGUACUUUAUCCUCACUGCUUAAGGUGCCCAGAAUAAAAGCUAACCCUUUCUUCUUCA